GAAUAUUCCAAAUGUAUGUCACUCUGGAUAAGAGUGUCUGCUAAAUAACUCAAA
Non-coding RNA from Salmo salar (Atlantic salmon), 54 nucleotides. Lineage: Eukaryota; Metazoa; Chordata; Actinopteri; Salmoniformes; Salmonidae. The record is from Rfam.